UACGGAGGGGGCUAGCGUUGUUCGGAAUUACUGGGCGUAAAGCGCACGUAGGCGGACUGGAAAGUCAGAGGUGAAAUCCCAGGGCUCAACCUUGGAACUGCCUUUGAAACUCCCGGUCUUGAGGUCGAGAGAGGUGAGUGGAAUUCCGAGUGUAGAGGUGAAAUUCGUAGAUAUUCGGAAGAACACCAGUGGCGAAGGCGGCUCACUG
RNAcentral lists this ribosomal RNA (208 nucleotides) under uncultured bacterium. Its description in RNAcentral is "partial 16S ribosomal RNA". It matches the Rfam family "Bacterial small subunit ribosomal RNA", at positions 524 to 731 of the family's 1533-position model. The record is from RNAcentral.